Molecule: small RNA, 506 nt
Filed under: Pongo abelii (Sumatran orangutan)
Lineage: Eukaryota; Metazoa; Chordata; Mammalia; Primates; Hominidae
Description: retained intron
Source: RNAcentral
UAGUAGAGACGGGGUUUCACCAUGUUGGCCAGGCUGGUGUCGAACUCCUGACCUCAGGUGAUCCACCUACCUCAGCCUCCUAGAGUGCUGGGAUUACAGGCAUGAGCCACCGCACCCGGUGUUGUUUUAUUUUUUAAUCAGCAAUGGUUUUGGAUUCCAAAGCUCUCAGGACCAAGGCCCACGCAUUUUGUCUAGUUGUCAUGUACUCUUCAGUUUCUCAAACUGGAAUUGUCCCUCACUAUGUGUUUUUCAUAACAUCAGCCUCUUGCAGAGUCUGGGCAGUUUGUCUUGUGUGGGAUGAUCCAUCAUCUGGAGUUGUCUUUCCUGGUGUUGUCACCUCUGUGUGGUGCUGGGUGAGGCCUUAGAGUUGAAAGUCCACAUGCUUGAGUUGCCUGUAGUGAGCUUAUCCAAGGGAAUGAGCCUAAUUUCUUUCUGUUUCUUCAUUCUAGGACUGUGAGGAAUGUAUCCAGCUGGAGCCGACCUUCAUCAAGGGUUAUACACGGAAA